UACGGGGGGGGCAAGCGUUGUUCGGAAUUACUGGGCGUAAAGGGCUCGUAGGCGGCCAACUAAGUCAUACGUGAAAUCCCUCGGCUUAACCGGGGAACUGCGUCUGAUACUGGAUGGCUUGAGUUCGGGAGAGGGAUGCGGAAUUCCCGGUGUAGCGGUGAAAUGCGCAGAUAUCGGGAAGAACACCGAUGGCGAAAGCGCUCUGCUGGGCCGAGACUGACGCUGAGAGACGAAAGCUAGGGGAGCGAAUGGG
RNAcentral lists this ribosomal RNA (253 nucleotides) under uncultured bacterium. RNAcentral's name for it is "partial 16S ribosomal RNA". It matches the Rfam family "Bacterial small subunit ribosomal RNA", at positions 524 to 776 of the family's 1533-position model. The record is from RNAcentral.